RNAcentral lists this ribosomal RNA (468 nucleotides) under uncultured bacterium. RNAcentral's name for it is "partial 16S ribosomal RNA". It matches the Rfam family "Bacterial small subunit ribosomal RNA", at positions 28 to 507 of the family's 1533-position model. The record is from RNAcentral.
GACGAACGCUGGCGGCGUGCUUAACACAUGCAAGUCGAACGGAAAGGCCCUGCUUUUGUGGGGUGCUCGAGUGGAGAACGGGUGAGUAACACGUGAGUAACCUGCCAUUGACUUUGGGAUAACUUCAGGAAACUGGGGCUAAUACCGGAUAGGAGCUCCUGCUGCAUGGUGGGGGUUGGAAAGUUUCGGCGGUUGGGGAUGGACUCGCGGCUUAUCAGCUUGUUGGUUGGGUAGUGGCUUACCAAGGCUUUGACGGGUAGCCGGCCUGAGAGGGUGACCUGCCACAUUGGGACUGAGAUACGGCCCAGACUCCUACGGGAGGCAGCAGUGGGGAAUAUUGCACAAUGGGCUGAAGCCUGAUGCAGCAACGCCGCGUGCGGGAUGACGGCCUUCGGGUUGUAUUCCGCUUUCGCCUGUGACGAAGCGUGAGUGACGGUAAUGGGUAAAGAAGCACCGGCUAACUACGUG